This 448-nucleotide ribosomal RNA is filed under the name uncultured bacterium. RNAcentral describes it as "bacterial SSU rRNA". It matches the Rfam family "Bacterial small subunit ribosomal RNA", at positions 355 to 796 of the family's 1533-position model. The record is from RNAcentral.
UCGAGAAUUUUUCUCAAUGGGGGAAACCCUGAAGGAGCGACGCCGCGUGGAGGAUGAAGGUCUUCGGAUUGUAAACUCCUGUCAUGAGGGAACAAACCUUCACGUUUAACUGAUGUGAAGCUGAUAGUACCUCAAGAGGAAGAGACGGCUAACUCUGUGCCAGCAGCCGCGGUAAUACAGAGGUCUCAAGCGUUGUUCGGAUUCAUUGGGCGUAAAGGGUGCGUAGGCGGCGAAGCAAGUCAGAUGUGAAAUCCCGGGGCUCAACCCCGGAACUGCAUUUGAUACUGCUUUGCUUGAGGACUGGAGAGGAGAUCGGAAUUCACGGUGUAGCAGUGAAAUGCGUAGAUAUCGUGAGGAAGGCCAGUGGCGAAGGCGGAUCUCUGGACAGUUCCUGACGCUGAGGCACGAAGGCCAGGGGAGCAAACGGGAUUAGAUACCCCCGUAGUCC